Molecule: ribosomal RNA, 492 nt
Filed under: uncultured bacterium
Lineage: Bacteria
Description: partial 16S ribosomal RNA
Rfam family: Bacterial small subunit ribosomal RNA
Source: RNAcentral
AGUGAACGCUGGCGGUAGGCCUAACACAUGCAAGUCGAACGGCAGCACAGUAAGAGCUUGCUCUUAAGGGUGGCGAGUGGCGGACGGGUGAGGCAUACAUCGGAAUCUACUUUUUCGUGGGGGAUAACGUAGGGAAACUUACGCUAAUACCGCAUAUGACCUACGGGUGAAAGCAGGGGUUCUUGGGACCUUUCCUGUUUGAAUUAGCCGAUGUCGGAUUAGCUAGUUGGCGAGGUAAAGGCCCACCAAGGCGACGAUCCGUAGCUGGUCUGAGAGGGUGAUCAGCCACACUGGAACUGAGACACGGUCCAGACUCCUACGGGAGGCAGCAGUAGGGAAUAUUGGGCAAUGGGCGCAAGCCUGAUCCAGCCAUACCGCGUGAGUGAAGAAGGCCUUCGGGUUGUAAAGCCCUUUUGUUGGGAAAGAAAAACAGCAGGUUAAUACCCCGCUGUUCUGACGGUACCCAAAGAAUAAGCACCGGCUAACUUCGUG